AUUGAACGCUGGCGGCAGGCCUAACACAUGCAAGUCGAGCGAGCGGCGGACGGGUGAGUAAUGUAUGGGGACUGCCCGAUAGAGGGGGAUAACUACUGGAAACGGUAGCUAAUACCGCAUACUAUCGGAUAACCCAUAUGGGAUUAGCUAGUAGGGGAGGUAAUGGCUCACCUAGGCGACGAUCCCUAGCUGGACUGAGAGGUUGAUCAGCCACACUGGGACUGCGACACGGCCCAGACUCCUACGGAGGCAGCAGUGGGGAAUAUUGCACAAUGGGCGCAAGCCUGAUGCAGCAAUGCCGCGUGUAUGAAGAAGGCCCUAGGGUUGUAAAGUACUGUCAGUAGGGAGGCGUUACCGACAGAAGAAGCACCGGCUAACUCCGUGCCAGCCGCCGCGGUAAUUC
This 403-nucleotide ribosomal RNA is filed under the name uncultured bacterium. Its description in RNAcentral is "partial 16S ribosomal RNA". It matches the Rfam family "Bacterial small subunit ribosomal RNA", at positions 30 to 526 of the family's 1533-position model. The record is from RNAcentral.